This is a long non-coding RNA of Hydra vulgaris (swiftwater hydra), 206 nucleotides long. RefSeq lists it as uncharacterized. The record is from RefSeq and is a predicted model, not a curated record. Lineage: Eukaryota; Metazoa; Cnidaria; Hydrozoa; Anthoathecata; Hydridae.
UAAAACAGUAUAAAAAAAUGUUUACAAAUAUCUUAACUUGCAACAUGUGACAGGCUACACAUCAGUGUUGUCCAUCUUUAAUCGAGAAAUGCAUUCAGAACAUUUUAUGAAGUAUUGGCAGGCUGUACCUGACGUCUUACUUUCUUGCAACGAAAUCAAAAGAACUACAAACCAAUUAAAUUAAUUUUUAUAGCAGUAUUUUCUUU